CCGUAGGUGAACCUGCGGAAGGAUCAUUACCGAGUGUAGGGUUCCUAGCGAGCCCAACCUCCCACCCGUGUCUCUUGCGUACUUUGUUGCUUUGGCGGGCCCACUGGGUCACUCCGGUCGCCGGGGAGCGCUAUGCUCCCGGGCCCGUGCCCGCCAGAGCACCCCUGUGAACCCUGAUGAAGAGAGGCUGUCUGAGUCCCACGAUAAUCGUUAAAACUUUCAACAAUGGAUCUCUUGGUUCCGGCAUCGAUGAAGAACGCAGCGAAAUGCGAUAAGUAAUGUGAAUUGCAGAAUUCCGUGAAUCAUCAAAUCUUUGAACGCACAUUGCGCCCCCUGGCAUUCCGGGGGGCAUGCCUGUCCGAGCGUCAUUUCUGCCCUCAAGCGCGGCUUGUGUGUUGGGCGUGGUCCCCCUGGCUUUGGCGGGGACCUGCCCGAAAGGCAGCGGCGACGUCCCGCCUAGUCCUCGAGCGUAUGGGGCUCUGUCACGCGCUCGGGAGGGACUGGUGGGCGUUGGUCACCUCUUAUUCUUUCUACGGUUGACCUCGGAUCAGGUAGGAGUUACCCGCUGAACUUAAGCAUAUCAAUAAGCGGAGGAAAUC
Molecule: ribosomal RNA, 599 nt
Filed under: Talaromyces trachyspermus
Lineage: Eukaryota; Fungi; Ascomycota; Eurotiomycetes; Eurotiales; Trichocomaceae
Description: eukaryotic LSU rRNA
Rfam family: 5.8S ribosomal RNA (bases 215-368)
Source: RNAcentral